Molecule: ribosomal RNA, 184 nt
Filed under: uncultured bacterium
Lineage: Bacteria
Description: partial 16S ribosomal RNA
Rfam family: Bacterial small subunit ribosomal RNA
Source: RNAcentral
GCGUGAAGUUGGAAUCGCUAGUAAUCGCGGAUCAGCAUGCCGCGGUGAAUACGUUCCCGGGCCUUGUACACACCGCCCGUCACACCAUGAGAGUCGGGAACACCCGAAGUCCGUAGCCUAACCGCGAAGGGGGGCGCGGCCGAAGGUGGGUUCGAUAAUUGGGGUGAAGUCGUAACAAGGUACC